UAUUUGCUGUGAUGAUUCCUGUUAGGACGGUAUCUGAAGGGGUUGAUGUCUAAGUGCACCCCCAUCUGAUUAUACCAAAACUGAAUAUGGUUUCUGAGCAAGUC
RNAcentral lists this small nucleolar RNA (104 nucleotides) under Setaria italica (foxtail millet). RNAcentral describes it as "snoRNA snoZ118". It matches the Rfam family "Small nucleolar RNA Z118/Z121/Z120". From Rfam's summary of the family: This family consists of several snoRNA Z118, Z121 and Z120 sequences which are members of the C/D class of snoRNA which contain the C (UGAUGA) and D (CUGA) box motifs. This family seems to be found exclusively in rice. C/D box small nucleolar RNAs are known to act as a methylation guides for 18S ribosomal RNA in plants. The record is from Rfam by way of RNAcentral. RNAcentral also lists the same sequence under 1 other name. Lineage: Eukaryota; Viridiplantae; Streptophyta; Magnoliopsida; Poales; Poaceae.